RNAcentral lists this transfer RNA (72 nucleotides) under Paedocypris micromegethes. Its description in RNAcentral is "tRNA-Gly". It matches the Rfam family "tRNA". From Rfam's summary of the family: Transfer RNA (tRNA) molecules are approximately 80 nucleotides in length. The record is from RNAcentral. Lineage: Eukaryota; Metazoa; Chordata; Actinopteri; Cypriniformes.
AUCUUUCUAGUAUUAAUGUUAGUACCAGUGACUUCCAAUCACUUGGUCUUGGAUAAACCCCAAGGAGAGAUA